CCUACGGGUGGCAGCAGUGGGGAAUAUUGGACAAUGGGGGCAACCCUGAUCCAGCCAUGCCGCGUGUGUGAAGAAGGCCCUCGGGUUGUAAAGCACUUUCAGUGAGGAAGAACGCCUGGUGGUUAAUACCCAUCAGGAAAGACAUCACUCACAGAAGAAGCACCGGCUAACUCCGUGCCAGCAGCCGCGGUAAUACGGAGGGUGCGAGCGUUAAUCGGAAUUACUGGGCGUAAAGCGCGCGUAGGUGGCUUGAUAAGCCGGUUGUGAAAGCCCCGGGCUCAACCUGGGAACGGCAUCCGGAACUGUCAAGCUAGUGUGCAGGAGAGGAAGGUAGAAUUGCCGGUGUAGCGGUGAAAUGCGUAGAGAUCGGGAGGAAUACCAGUGGCGAAGGCGGCCUUCUGGACUGACACUGACACAGGGGUGCGAAAGCGUGGGUAGAAAACAGGAUUAGAUAACCGAGUAGUC
Molecule: ribosomal RNA, 465 nt
Filed under: Vreelandella stevensii
Lineage: Bacteria; Pseudomonadati; Pseudomonadota; Gammaproteobacteria; Oceanospirillales; Halomonadaceae
Description: partial 16S ribosomal RNA
Rfam family: Bacterial small subunit ribosomal RNA
Source: RNAcentral